RNAcentral lists this long non-coding RNA (330 nucleotides) under Coffea arabica (coffee). Its description in RNAcentral is "long non-coding RNA (CARA_LNC006000)". Lineage: Eukaryota; Viridiplantae; Streptophyta; Magnoliopsida; Gentianales; Rubiaceae. The record is from RNAcentral.
UAAGUUGCACCAGGAAUCAAAUCCUCAGUCCUGAUAGGAGGCAUGUCACUCUUCCUAAUGGGUCUUGUUCGCUUAGAUCGAGCAGUAGUGGAGCUUCCAUCUGAUUUAGCAGAGGAAUCUUCGUUUGUUUCAAUAGCAUCUAAUGGACUUUCAGAGACUUCACCAGUAUCUUUAUCAGCUCCAGGCAAAUCAGUCUCUUCUACUGCUACAUCAGUCUUGGUUGCCAAUACUAUAUGGCCCCUCUGCCUUCCUUCGACAAUUACAUACCUUGUACUGGUAUUGAAGACCUCUGCCUCCAUUUCCCCCGCUUAUUGGUCGAGAGCUUGAGGA